GGAGGGGUGUGCCGAAUGGUAAGGCAGCGGUCUUGAAAACCGCCGGGAGAAAUCCCUUGCAGGUUCGAGUCCUGUCCCCUCCG
This 83-nucleotide transfer RNA is filed under the name Candidatus Kaiserbacteria bacterium RIFCSPHIGHO2_01_FULL_50_13. RNAcentral describes it as "tRNA-Ser". It matches the Rfam family "tRNA". From Rfam's summary of the family: Transfer RNA (tRNA) molecules are approximately 80 nucleotides in length. Their secondary structure includes four short double-helical elements and three loops (D, anti-codon, and T loops). Lineage: Bacteria; Candidatus Kaiseribacteriota. The record is from RNAcentral. RNAcentral also lists the same sequence under 3 other names.